Molecule: ribosomal RNA, 315 nt
Filed under: uncultured eukaryote
Lineage: Eukaryota
Description: partial 18S ribosomal RNA
Rfam family: Eukaryotic small subunit ribosomal RNA
Source: RNAcentral
CCCUUAGACGUUCUGGGCCGCACGCGCGCUACACUGACCAGUGCAACAAGCAUCCGUCCUUGGCCGACAGGCUCGGGCAAUCUUUGAACGCUGGUCGUGAUGGGGAUAGACUUUUGCAAUUUUUGGUCUUCAACGAGGAAUUCCUAGUAAACGCAAGUCACCAACUUGCAUUGAUUACGUCCCUGCCCUUUGUACACACCGCCCGUCGCACCUACCGAUUGAAUGGUCCGGUGAAGCCUCCGGAUUGGCGCGCACCUCGGUGCCGCCGAGAAGUUGGCUAAACCUUACCAUUUAGAGGAAGGUGAAGUCGUANCA